This 226-nucleotide unclassified non-coding RNA is filed under the name uncultured fungus. Its description in RNAcentral is "sequence contains ITS1, 5.8S rRNA gene". The stretch from base 178 to 226 matches the Rfam family "5.8S ribosomal RNA", at positions 1 to 49 of the family's 154-position model. Lineage: Eukaryota; Fungi. The record is from RNAcentral.
UCUCCGUAGGUGAACCUGCGGAGGGAUCAUUAAUAGAGAUGGCGGGCCCCCGGGCCCCCGUCCCCAACCCUUUGUCGACCAAACCACUUUUGCCUCGGGGGCAGAGCGGUCUCCGCCGCCCCCGGUGGACCAUUUAACGCUGUCUCUUUGCGUCGGAGUAUUGAUUAAAUAAAUGAAAACUUUCAACAACGGAUCUCUUGGUUCUGGCAUCGAUGAAGAACGCAGC